GCCCGGAGGUCCCGGCCCGCCGCCGCCGCCGCCAGGGGCCGGGGCGGGGGCCAGGCGCAGGCCCUUCGCGACCCGGGAGGCCAGUGCUGUCCAUCGCCUGAGGCCCUGGUGGCAUCCAGAAGGCGCCAGCUCGGGUGAUUCUGGUCACUGCCCUCUCGGGUUGCUGGUGGAGAGACUUGUGUUUAUAAAAUAGCUCGCCCUUCUCUUCCCUACCUACCCAAGUCCUUGUGGCUUUCACUCCCACAUUCUGCUUCCGACACCCCGCCCCGCAGGUCCAUUUACAGACCUCCUCCUUUUUGGUUGGACUGACCUCCAGCAAAGGGUUUGCAAGCCCCCCAACACUGCCACUGGCUGCGGGGAGGCCACAGGACUUAGGGCUACAUCCUCUGGGAGCCUGUGAGUGAGGAAAGGCAGAUGUCCGUUUUACAGAGGAAGAAACCGAGGCACAGAUGAAUGAAUGACCGAUGUGGGCCCACACUCCCAGGACAUCACCCUGUGACAAGGCAGAGGGAAAUGCACCCCCCGAGGCCCCUCUCCCACGUGAAGAGACUUGCUCCUCCAGAAAUGCCCCAGGGAACAUCCACUGAUACAGGGCUGACUGGAGCACAGCACCACACCGUUGGAGACCGUAUGGAAGAAACCGUGGAAACGUGUCAGUGAUUGAGUGAGUUCAGGCAAUGCCAGUGGCUACAACAAACGAGCCCUGAGAUGUGGAAUCGCUUCCACACGCAGGAAGUUCGUUUCUCACUCCCAGGCCAGGGUGGGUGUUAGCGGCCGGCAGGCCACUCUGCUCCAAGUGAGGACUCGGGGACACAGGCUCUUUCCAUGCACGCGGGUCCACCACGUUGGCCCUGUGCUUCCAGGGUGUCUGGGUUCCUGCCCGAGGACGGGAGGGGGCGUGGAGAAGCCCGUGCAGAACCCCUUGGGUGGUUUUUCUGGUUCAGGCCCGGAGCUGGCUCACAACACGUGCACUCACAUUCUGUUGGU
Long non-coding RNA from Prionailurus viverrinus (fishing cat), 987 nucleotides. RefSeq lists it as uncharacterized. The record is from RefSeq and is a predicted model, not a curated record. The transcript has 3 exons. Lineage: Eukaryota; Metazoa; Chordata; Mammalia; Carnivora; Felidae.